Molecule: ribosomal RNA, 960 nt
Filed under: uncultured bacterium
Lineage: Bacteria
Description: bacterial SSU rRNA
Rfam family: Bacterial small subunit ribosomal RNA
Source: RNAcentral
GGCGAACGGGUGAGUAACACGUGGAUAAUCUGCCUCCGGGUUGGGGAUAACUGUCCGAAAGGAUAGCUAAUACCGAAUGAGAUGGUGAUUACAUAAGUAGUAGCCAUUAAAGGUGGGGACCGCAAGGCCUACUGCCUGGAGAUGAGUCCGCGGCUGAUUAGCUUGUUGGUGGGGUAACGGCCUACCAAGGCGACGAUCAGUAGCCGGCCUGAGAGGGUGAACGGCCACAUUGGGACUGAGAUACGGCCCAGACUCCUACGGGAGGCAGCAGUUAAGAAUCUUGCACAAUGGGCGCAAGCCUGAUGCAGCGACGCCGCGUGAAUGAUGAAGGCUUUAGGGUUGUAAAGUUCAGUAAGCAGGGAAGAAUAAGCGCCGGGUAAUAUUCGGUGUGAUGACGGUACCUGCCUAAAGCCCCGGCUAACUACGUGCCAGCAGCCGCGGUAAUACGUAUGGGGCGAGCGUUGUUCGGAAUUAUUGGGCGUAAAGGGCGUCUAGGCGGGGAUUUAAGUUAGGCGUGAAAGCUAUGGGCUCAACCCAUAAACUGCAUCUAAAACUGGAUCUCUUGAGUUCGGGAGAGGAGAGCGGAAUUCCAGGUGUAGCGGUGAAAUGCGUAGAUAUCUGGAAGAACACCAGUGGCGAAGGCGGCUCUCUGGCCUAGAACUGACGCUGAAGCGCGAAAGCGUGGGGAGCGAACAGGAUUAGAUACCCUGGUAGUCCACGCUGUAAACGUUGUAUACUAGGUGUUAGUGGCUUGUCCACUAGUGCCGCAGCAAACGCAUUAAGUAUACCGCCUGGGGAGUACGCCCGCAAGGGUGAAACUCAAGAAAUUGACGGGGGCCCGCACAAGCGGUGGAGCAUGUGUUUAUUCGAUGAUACGCGAGACUUACCUGGGCUUGACUGUGCAUGACCGGCGUAGAAGAUACGUCUUUCCUUCGGAAAUUGUUAUAGAGGGUGCUGCAU